This 6492-nucleotide long non-coding RNA is filed under the name Sus scrofa (pig). RNAcentral describes it as "lncRNA (ENSSSCG00015000500.1)". Lineage: Eukaryota; Metazoa; Chordata; Mammalia; Artiodactyla; Suidae. The record is from RNAcentral.
UAAGAACCCAACUAGGAUCCACUGGGAUGUGGGUUCAAUCCCUGGCCUCGCUCAGUGGGUUAAGGAUACAGCAUUGCCGUGAGCUGUGGUGCAGGUCACAGAUGCAGCUCAGAUCCUGCGUUGCUGUGGCUGUGGUGCAGGCCGGUAGCUGCAGCUGGCUCAACCCCUAGCCUGAGAACAUCCAUAUGCUGCAGGGGCGGCCCUAAAAAGCCAAAAAAACAAAAAAAAAAAAGCUGCAGGUCUUUGUCCUAGGCUCCCAUGAAACUGACAGUCUGUGGCUUCCUCAGUCAAUAGGCUGGAGCAGCACCCAGACGUGUCCUCUCAAGAUCCAGACACGCCAAGCCCGUGCCUUUCUUGGUUGUGGGCAGUGCAAGGCGCAGCCGGGAGACCGUGACGGUCCAGAGGCCACUGGUUCGUCCUGGAAUUGAGCCGUCGCCGUCCAGGGCACGGCUUCCUGCUCACCAGGGCCACUGCUGUGACGUCCCCAGUGCAUCCAAAUGAGGUGCACUCUCAGGGCUCAUGGGAUCACUGCGUCUGUCUGUGAGGGCUCCACCUCGCAGCCUCGUCGGAGCCCAGGCCGUGUCUGGUCGCAUGGAUCGUCCCUGUGUCCAGCUGACAGAACAGGAGAGGCCCGCCUCUGACCUGCACCUGGAUCCGCACGGUGUGCUGGCAUCCGCUGCACCCCACACAGGCUCAGGGCCUUGGAAGAUUGCAGGUGGCAAACCAGGCGGUACCUCUGGCGGCCCACUUCAGGUGGAGAGAGCCAGCCGAGCCCUGAUCCGUAUGCGCCCUUGUCUGUGACUGUCCAGCUGGCCCUCCACGGCAGAGAAGAGACCGCAGGGGGGUAUCCAGCAGGUCUCUCCCGUCCCGCAGGACACGCACUGGAAGCACGCUCUGGUGGGCGGGGUGACACCUGUGGAUGUCACCCAGCCUCUUAAGUGGCAGGAAAGGAGACCUGCAUUGGCUCAACACCACCCCCUCUCACAAAGGCUUCCUGGCUUCUGCAGCUCCUCAGUCCCUGCACUGCCAACCACAGACGCCAAUGCGGAGCCCUUGACGAGGCAGGCAGUCCCCUCCACCACAGAGGAGGCAGUAGUUGGUCCCACCAGGAACAGACACGUUCCUGUCUGCGGGGCGUCUGCCAACAGUGCGAUCUGAGGACCUGGAGAAUGUCUUACCUGCUGCCUUAGCUCUGUGUGACGGCGCCUCUUUGCAGCAGGCCCACGUUUUAUUUGUUGUACGGUCGCACCUGCUGCACAUGGAAGGUCCCACCCAGCCUAGGGAUCGAAUCCAAGCCACAGCUGCAACCUAUACCGCAGCUGGGGCAAUGCUGAAUCCUUUAACCCACUGCACCGGGCUGGGAGUCAAACCCGCACCUUCCCAGCAACCCAAGCCACUGCACUCGGAUGCUUAACCCACUGUGCCCCAGUGGGAACUCCAGCAGCAGGCAUAUUUUAAAGCAAUGAAAGUGUGCAGGAUGAGCUCACGUGGAAGCCACUGGUGUCACCACGUUGGGGGAGCUUAUUGAGGACAUGACCUGUGGAAGUUUGACCUGUGAGCCAGGCCCCCAACAGAGGCCCCCACCGGCUCCCUGUCCUUGGAAGGUGCUUUCUGCCCCAAGGCUGCAGCCUCGAGACCGGCUGGAAGGUGUGCAUGACCGAUGCCAGGCAAGGCCUCUGUAUAAGCGCUUAUGAUUGUGGCAGGUCGGUGCAGAGACCUAUUGCCCCUGGCCACCCAAGACAAACCUCGUGAGCUCCCUGUGGUGCCGAGGUCCAGCCCCAGCAGCCAGGGAGCGCUGAAGGAGAGGCUGGGCUACAAACGGUGUGGAAAGAAUUGCAGCCAACUCCUCAGCUGCAUGCUGCAGAUGACCCAAUUUAUUAAACGAAAAGCAUCAGUUUUUAUACCAUAUCACAAUCAGGUUUCGUAUAAGAUUUGACAUUAACAUUUUAUUUAAAGCCCUUUCUGUUCCCUCCACCUGAGAUACAAAAAAAGGUUAGUUAAAACAUGUUCCUUUCAACUUUAGAUUUUCCUUCAAGAUUACAAACUUAAAGUUUCACACUGUAUUUUUCUUAAAAGGUCAACAACAGUAGUUAUUCUAUUCUAUAUUAACAACAAAGCUUUAAGAAGCAAUAAACUAUGAUACCUAACAUUCUUUAACUAAAGGUGUAUGUAGUUAACAAAACGCAUGAAAGCCUUGGGUUCAUGGUAUUCUUAAAACUACGAUUUAUUUGGCGCCAGCAAGCUAAGCAUUUAACCUAUUGUGCUGAUUUACGUAAGUUCCAAACCACCAAUCUCAAUAGAAAGGCGUAUUAUACCCAAAAUUAUCAAAUGCCCUCACAAGGGAUGAAAGUUACAGGUGACACUGUUAUUUGAUAAAAAAUAUAUCUAUUAUAGAAAAUAGCAAUUUAUAGGCCAAACAACAUUUUUCCCAGCCCCAAACUUUUUAAGUAAAGGAACUGAAAUCAUAAGUUUCCCCUGUAUACUCUCACAAAAUAGGUGCCAUAAAUUGUUACUCAAAAACAAAGGCUUUUUCCAUUACAUUGGUUAAAUAACUUCACUCUGUUUUGGUUUAGGUGUUUUACGUACCUCGGGCAAAUCCUUAGCUGUAAGAAAGCUGUGAAUCAAAGAUAGAAAAAGAAGGAUAAACACAGAGAAAAUAGAUUAACAUAUUUUUUAGUGGAUAUCAUUUUUAUUUUCCUGGAGCCGAUGUUUUUCAAGGGAUUGCUCUGCAAUCCUUCUUCUUUCUUCAGCUUGUCUGUAGCUCUGCUAACCAGACAAACCUCAUGCAGGUGCUGACUGUGGCUUUGCUUUUUUUACUGGAGCAGCCUUAUGGCUCCCGACACUGUGGAUUGUGUUAAACCUGCCACUUGCCCAUCUGGAGUGUCCGCCUCUCUCUUGGUCUCUUGCCAUCAGAUGCAGGGGCCAGUUUACAAACUAACACCAUCUGUCAGCUGGAAGCCGUUACCUUGACUGAAGAGAGGGACUGCUCCCUGAAGGCUCCCUUCAGCAGCAGCUUGGAAAUCCCGCCUUUCGAGUUUGAGGUCAGGUCCCAAACUGGUGGGUGCCUUAAGCCGGCAGCGCGCGUCAUGCUACUUCCCUUACAGCCAGACUGCAGGGGUCGGAAAGUCAAGAGGCAGACUUGCGCUGCACGUGCCACGCUGGGCUCUCCGGUUUCUUGGUCACGUCAAGCACGGGAGCAGCAGGGCACCGUGUGUGCCACCUGGGUUCCCCGCGUCGUCUCCCCAUCGUGUAGUGAACGGAGGAGCAGGCUUCUCUCCUCCGGGGCCGAGGCAGGGACUCCUUUUGCCCUCUGGUUCCCAGAUGCGGCAACCCCAAGGUACCCAGAGAGCAUCCGUAGUUUAUAGGCUAGUGGGACAUGCGAUGUGUUCCCCGGAAGUUCAUCUUGGGGACAAAGACCUCUAACCUGGAAGAAUCUAAACUUGGCAGGACAGAAAGCACGAGUUCCCCGGCAGAUCACUGGGGGUCCUGCGAGCGGGGCCACUGCUGUUUCCACCCCUUGGCUUCAGAUUCAUGUGUCUUGCUUGUUGGGAACAGAGGGCCAUGGACAGGUCCUGUGCGGCACCCCGUCUUUGUAGAAUAUUACCUCCAGCCGGGCAUCUCAGCCGUGCCUUUGGCUGACCGACCCAGUGCUCUGUCCGCAGUGGAUCCCACGCUCACUGCAUUGCCUUUGCUACAAAGUGAAUCCCAUGUUUGAUAGGACACCAAAUGGGAUUCUUUUCUUUUUCCUUUUCCAUUAUGGUUUAUCCCAGAAGACUGGAUAGAGUUCCCUUGCUGUACAGCUGGACCUUAUUGUUAAAUCCAUUCUAAAUGUGAUAGUUUAUACCCACUGGCCCCGAACUCCCUGUCCAUCCACGCCUCCCCUUUCCCCCUCGAGAGCCCCAAGUCUGCUCUCCUUGGCCAUGAUCUAUUUCUGGUUUUUGUUUUGUUUUGUUUUACAUAGGAUCAUCUGUUCAUAUUUUAGAUUCCAAAAAUAAGUGAAUCGAAUCUAAAAAAGUGGAGAAAACCAUACAUGCACCCCCGUGCUCACUGCAGCACUGGUCACGCCAGCCAAGACAUGGAAGCAACCCAGGUGUCCAUCGACAGAGGACUGGAUAAAGAAGAUGUGGUACAUGUACACAGUGGAGUAUUACUCAGCCACAAAAACGCAUGGACAAUGCCAUUUGCAGCACUGCAGAUGGACCUAGAGAUUAUCAUACCGAGUGAAGCUUGUGAAGACAGUGAAGAUAAGAUUCAUGCGAUAUCAUUCACAUGUGGAAUCUAAGAAAAGGACAAAGUGAACUUACCUGGAGAACAGACAGACUCAGACCUUGAAAACAGGCUUACGGUUACCCAGGUGGCCGGGGUGGGGACGGGCGGCAUGUAUACACGGUGUUAUGGAAUGACUGGCCAAUGGGGACCUCUACCCACUGUUCUGUGAGAAUCUAUUUGGGAAAGGAAUCUAAAAGAAUGGAUGUGUAUGUUUUACUGAAUCACUUUGUUGCACAGCAGAAAUUAUCACAACAUUGAAAUCAACAUUGACACUUUAAAAACGAAGAAGCGAAUGACUAGGAUCUCUCCCCACUGGGAGGCUGUGUCCUCAUCCUGUCUUUCAAGGCUGCCCCUGAGAGGCUGUAGUACACCUGCUGCCCUUUUGCAUUUUGAACUCACACAGCAGCCAAGCCACCUGUGAGCCACGCUCAAGAUAGUUCUUCCUGUCAACCGGGCCCAAAGGCUUCUCCAUAUGGUGGUAGCUGUGAAGUGACAGAAAGGCUCUGAUACAGUGGCAGUGGAUGCCAGGCAGCUCUGGGCCAUUUAUCCUGCACUCCCCUGUGACCCGUGAACAGUCUUGUGCUCAGUCUUGGACGUACUCCUUGUGAUGGGUCAUUGCUGGGCCAGACCGACCUUAUGACUCAUUGAGUUUGGCAGAAGCCAUCCAACAAAGCACUGUCUUGUCUGCACGGGCACGUAAUGUCCCAAGGUCAGAUGUUCCACCUCUGUUGGAGCACAGAAGCACAGCAAGAUGGGCCCCCGCACCCCAGAAAAAAGGAGCUGAAAAGAAGAGGCACAUCAGCAGCCACGGCUGACACAGAGACUACCAUCCGGGCUACUGCCAGGCGCGUGCGCAGUAUGCCGUCACCCUCCAGGGCCCUGCUGACCUCUGCCGGGGUCAUGCUGGUGAAUUCAAGAGCCGGGGGCCACUACGCUGUGUCCCUUAGAUCCUUAAGCGUGGCACCAAUCACUGCCCUCCACUUCACUCCUAGGUGUGAUACCGCUUUAUAAUCUCGAUAGGAACAGGCAGUUUGAGAGGUUUCCACUUGGCUUUUCGUGUCGUGACAGCUCUAACCCUAGGUCAGGGACCCAACACGAGCGUAACAUUAAUUGCCGAGAAUGUCAAUGCCAAUUAUUCAGGACAGGGAGAAUUACCCCCCCGCAGGUCCACAGACUCGGUGAACCUUCUGUAAACUGGACCACGGGCCGGACCCCACUAAUCAUCGUGUCAGCACGUGCAGCCAGUCUGACAGGCAGGCCACGGUGACAGUCCUGGCGUCUGCGUAUCAGUCAGUUCAGUCCCUCAGUCUUCAAGACACGUGGCUCCUCGCUCUCCCCCGGGUGUAGCUGUCAGAGGAAAUGGCUAUUGGACACUUUGGACAAGAACUUCGGGAUUCAUUUCUACGUAGCCUUGUGGGAUCUGCAGGGUCCUUCUCGGUAACUGGCCGUCUCUUCAGUUCCAUGUCCGAAAACAGGCUCAGGUCCACACUGGUUGUGGGGGUCCUGAUUUUUUUCAUCGGGCAACUGUCUUGAUUUUCCAGUCACCCAUCUCUGACUUUUUUCUGCUGGUAGUGUCCUCUUACUCUACCUCUAGGGAUGCCCGACGGGGGGACACCACUUCUGCAACUCUCCACAAGCUGGGCUCCCUGGGCUGCUACUCAGACCUCACUGGCCUUGUAACUGUGACUCGCUGGCGUCUGUCAGUUAGAUGCUGCUUCCUGGCCUCUCUGCCGUGGGCUCCUCUCACCGCCAGGGCUCUCACCCAGACACGUUCUGAAGUAGCCUCUGUCUCUGUCAGCACCUGCCUACAGAGACACCACUGAGAGUGACAGCGGUGACCCUUUCACCAGCUGUUUCGUUAAUUUUCGUGCGUCUGCUACUUGUGCCUUUAUGUAGAAUGUGGCCAUCUGGUGGGUCUUCAAGAGUAUGGGGUGUUUAAACCGAAGCAGGGAGCUCCCGUCGUGGCGCAGUGGUCAACGAACCCGACCAGGAACCGUGAGGUUGUGGGUUCCAUCCCUGGCCUCGCUCCGUGGGUUAAGGACCCCACGUUGCCGUGAGCUGUGGUGUAGGUCGCAGAUGUGGCUCGGAUCCCGCGUUGCUGUGGCUCUGGUGUAGGCCGGCAGCUACAGCUCCGAUUAGACCCCUAGCCUGGGAACCUCCAUGUGCCACAGGUGCAGCCCUAGAAAAAGACUAAAACACGAAAAGACCAAAAAAAAAAAAAAA